UGACCCGGUGGUGCGCGACCCCAAAACCCAAAGAACCGGGGAAAGAACCGAACCCACCCCCACCGCCCCCGUCACUCACUCGGCGGAGUGAAUAUGCCAGACGAAACUGGCGUGGCGGGGCAUUUGUGGUGCAGCGUCAGCGAUGACAACCCGCCGACAUGCGUCGGCCCUCGCCGGGACUGGCAUCCCGAUGCGAGGGCCUGAUCACCAAGGAAUCGACCCUUCCCCG
This 229-nucleotide non-coding RNA is filed under the name Streptomyces malaysiense. RNAcentral's name for it is "Streptomyces sRNA 4677". It matches the Rfam family "Streptomyces sRNA 4677". Rfam says of the family: Located in the intergenic region between anti-sigma factor SCO4677 gene and a putative regulatory protein gene SCO4676. scr4677 expression requires the SCO4677 activity and scr4677 sRNA itself seem to affect the levels of the SCO4676-associated transcripts. Lineage: Bacteria; Bacillati; Actinomycetota; Actinomycetes; Kitasatosporales; Streptomycetaceae. The record is from Rfam by way of RNAcentral.